ACCUCCGUAGCUCAGCUGGUUAGAGCGCUGCACCGGAAUCACAGCGCCGUAGGUUCGAUUCCUAUCAGAGGAC
RNAcentral lists this transfer RNA (73 nucleotides) under Paramuricea clavata. It matches the Rfam family "tRNA". From Rfam's summary of the family: Transfer RNA (tRNA) molecules are approximately 80 nucleotides in length. Their secondary structure includes four short double-helical elements and three loops (D, anti-codon, and T loops). The record is from Rfam by way of RNAcentral. Lineage: Eukaryota; Metazoa; Cnidaria; Anthozoa; Malacalcyonacea; Plexauridae.